Long non-coding RNA from Vigna radiata var. radiata (mung bean), 556 nucleotides. RefSeq lists it as uncharacterized. The record is from RefSeq and is a predicted model, not a curated record. The transcript is spliced from 3 exons. NCBI's taxonomy places the organism in Eukaryota, Viridiplantae, Streptophyta, Magnoliopsida, Fabales, Fabaceae.
AAAAUUUGAUGCGAACUAUCGCUUUCUCUCAAUUUCAGUCACAAAGAGAAGAAGGGCGAUCUGAUUCGCCAUCGACGAAACAUGAAACCCAUGUUUUUCAAUUUUCUAGGUAUUUUCUGCUUCUUCAGAUGACGAACAUUGAGUUUCUACUGCCCCCUGUCUGUUCUUUAUAGAAAUUGUGGAUCUUUAUGAUUUCGAUGAGUAAAUUCAAAUAUUGGACAUUGGCUGGUUGAUGUUUGACACAUGGAUGUUUGUUGCGUGCUAUCAUCCAGUCCCUUAACAAUCAAAAGGAGUAUCUGCUUAACAUGGUUUUAUGGUAUUGGUUGUUAGAUGUUUGGAGAGCGUCGUUACCCAGUCUCACAUGAUCAGUUGUGUUUGUCACCUGUUCAUUACAAAAUGGCAUUUUUAAAAGACAUGAUUAGAUGUAUAAUUCAACUGAUUUUGUCUCUUUGUAUAGUAUGAUUUUUAAACUUCUUGUGCUUACAUGCCACAAUCUAAAUGUCUAAAACUUUCUUUGAAUGAAAUAAUAGGAAGAACUAAACAUCCCAAAUAUAAA